UACGUAGGGAGCAAGCGUUGUCCGGAAUCAUUGGGCGUAAAGCGCGCGUAGGUGGCCUCAUAAGUCCGCUGUGAAAGUCAAAGGCUCAACCUUUGAAAGCCGGUGGAUACUGUGAGGCUAGAGUACGGAAGAGGCGAGUGGAAUUCCUGGUGUAGCGGUGGAAUGCGCAGAUAUCGGGAGGAACACCGGUGGCGAAGGCGGUUCUCUGGGCCUUACCUGACACUGAGGAGCGAAAGCGUGGGGAGCGAACAGG
RNAcentral lists this ribosomal RNA (253 nucleotides) under uncultured bacterium. RNAcentral describes it as "partial 16S ribosomal RNA". It matches the Rfam family "Bacterial small subunit ribosomal RNA", at positions 524 to 776 of the family's 1533-position model. The record is from RNAcentral.